RNAcentral lists this ribosomal RNA (253 nucleotides) under uncultured bacterium. RNAcentral's name for it is "partial 16S ribosomal RNA". It matches the Rfam family "Bacterial small subunit ribosomal RNA", at positions 524 to 776 of the family's 1533-position model. The record is from RNAcentral.
GACGAACCGUGCGAACGUUGUUCGGAAUCACUGGGCUUAAAGGGCGCGUAGGCGGGCCGGAUAGUCUGUGGUGAAAGCCCCCAGCUUAACUGGGGAAGUGCCAUGGAUACUGCCGGCCUGGAGGAGGGUAGGGGCAUCUGGAACGCUGGGUGGAGCGGUGAAAUGCGUUGAUAUCCAGCGGAACUCCGGUGGCGAAGGCGAGGUGCUGGACCCUUUCUGACGCUGAGGCGCGAAAGCCAGGGGAGCAAACGGG